Molecule: ribosomal RNA, 397 nt
Filed under: uncultured bacterium
Lineage: Bacteria
Description: partial 16S ribosomal RNA
Rfam family: Bacterial small subunit ribosomal RNA
Source: RNAcentral
AAUCUUGCGCAUUGGGCGAAAGCCUGACGCAGCCAUGCCGCGUGGAUGAUGAAGGUCUUAGAUUUGUAAAUUUCUUUCACCGGGGACGAUAAUGACGGUACCCGGCGAAGAAGCACCGCCUAACUUCGUGCCAGCAGCCGCUGUCAUACGAAGGGGGCUAGCGUUGCUCGGAAUUACUGGGCGUAAAGGGCGCGUAGGCGGACAUUUAAGCCAGGGGUGAAAUCCCAGAGCUCAACUCUGGAACUGCCUUUGAUACUGGGUGUCUUGAGUGUGAGAGAGGUAUGUGGAACUCCGAGUGUAGAGGUGAAAUUCGUAGAUAUCCGGAAGAACACCAGUGGCGAAGGCGACAUACUGGCUCAUUACUGACGCUGAGGCGCGAAAGCGUGGGGAGCAAACA